AUACGGAGGAUCCGAGCGUUAUCCGGAUUUAUUGGGUUUAAAGGGUGCGCAGGCGGGAGAUUAAGUCGGCGGUGAAAUUUUGCAGCUCAACUGUAAAAGUGCCUUCGAAACUGGUUUCCUUGAGUGUAGAUGAAGUAGGCGGAAUUUUUGGUGUAGCGGUGAAAUGCAUAGAUAUCACGAGGAACUCCGAUUGCGCAGGCAGCUUACUAAACUACUACUGACGCUCAGGCACGAAGGCGUGGGGAUCAAACAGGAUUAUAUACCCUGGUAGUCCACGCAGUAAACGAUGAUUACUAGCUGUUUGCGAUACAAUGUAAGCGGCUGAGCGAAAGCGUUAAGUAAUCCACCUGGGGAGUACGUUCGCAAGAAUGAAACUCAAAGGAAUUGACGGGG
RNAcentral lists this ribosomal RNA (393 nucleotides) under uncultured bacterium. RNAcentral's name for it is "partial 16S ribosomal RNA". It matches the Rfam family "Bacterial small subunit ribosomal RNA", at positions 523 to 918 of the family's 1533-position model. The record is from RNAcentral.